AGAGUUUGAUCAUGGCUCAGAAUGAACGCUGGCGGCAUGCCUAACACAUGCAAGUCGAACGAAGGCUUCGGCCUUAGUGGCGCACGGGUGCGUAACGCGUGGGAAUCUGCCCUUGGGUUCGGAAUAACAGUUAGAAAUGACUGCUAAUACCGGAUGAUGUCGUAAGACCAAAGAUUUAUCGCCCAAGGAUGAGCCCGCGUAGGAUUAGCUAGUUGGUGAGGUAAAAGCUCACCAAGGCGACGAUCCUUAGCUGGUCUGAGAGGAUGAUCAGCCACACUGGGACUGAGACACGGCCCAGACUCCUACGGGAGGCAGCAGUGGGGAAUAUUGGACAAUGGGCGAAAGCCUGAUCCAGCAAUGCCGCGUGAGUGAUGAAGGCCUUAGGGUUGUAAAGCUCUUUUACCCGGGAUGAUAAUGACAGUACCGGGAGAAUAAGCUCCGGCUAACUUCGUGCCAGCAGCCGCGGUAAUACGAGGGGAGCUAGCGUUAUUCGGAAUUACUGGGCGUAAAGCGCACGUAGGCGGCUUUGUAAGUUAGAGGUGAAAGCCCGGGGCUCAACUCCGGAAUUGCCUUUAAGACUGCAUCGCUUGAAUCCAGGAGAGGUGAGUGGAAUUCCGAGUGUAGAGGUGAAAUUCGUAGAUAUUCGGAAGAACACCAGUGGCGAAGGCGGCUCACUGGACUGGUAUUGACGCUGAGGUGC
RNAcentral lists this ribosomal RNA (700 nucleotides) under Sphingomonas sp. S4-A16. RNAcentral's name for it is "bacterial SSU rRNA". It matches the Rfam family "Bacterial small subunit ribosomal RNA", at positions 8 to 754 of the family's 1533-position model. Lineage: Bacteria; Pseudomonadati; Pseudomonadota; Alphaproteobacteria; Sphingomonadales; Sphingomonadaceae. The record is from RNAcentral.